GACGAACGCUGGCGGCGUGCUUAACACAUGCAAGUCGAACGGAAAGGCCCUGCUUUUGUGGGGUGCUCGAGUGGCGAACGGGUGAGUAACACGUGAGUAACCUGCCCUUGACUUUGGGAUAACUUCCGGAAACUGGGGCUAAUACCGGAUAGGAGCUCCUGCUGCAUGGUGGGGGUUGGAAAGUUUCGGCGGUUGGGGAUGGACUCGCGGCUUAUCAGCUUGUUGGUUGGGUAGUGGCUUACCAAGGCUUUGACGGGUAGCCGGCCUGAGAGGGUGACCGGCGACAAUGGGACUGAGAGAGGGCCCAGACUCCUACGGGAGGCAGCAGUGGGGAAUAUUGCACAGUGGGCGGAAGCCUGAUGCAGCGACGCCGCGUGCGGGAUAACGGCCUUCGGGUUGUAAACCGCUUUCGCCUGAGACGAAGCGUGAGUGACGGUAAUGGGUAAAGAAGCACCGGCUAACUACGUG
This 468-nucleotide ribosomal RNA is filed under the name uncultured bacterium. Its description in RNAcentral is "partial 16S ribosomal RNA". It matches the Rfam family "Bacterial small subunit ribosomal RNA", at positions 28 to 507 of the family's 1533-position model. The record is from RNAcentral.